GUUUGGAUUGGCAAUAUCUGCAUAGCAAGAUGUUUCUGCCGAGACGCAGACGAUCGCCAAAACAGCAACCACAGCUACUUUCACCGCGAACAUUCUCAAGCUGCAUAAUCAGAGAAGUGUGGAUACAGCUUAAAUGGUGGUGCAAUACGGAGUUUACUACACACAUGGCCAUAUCUGUGCGUACAUGCAGACUGAUUGUGUGAUAUCCAAACGCCAAUGGAUAAGUGUAGAAACAAAUUGUGCCAUCCACGUGCUGGCUCACAAGACGAUAAGGGCAAGAACACGCAGCGUUCACGCACACCUCUCGUUGACAACCACGCCCUUUUGCCGCUUUGUCAACCAACUUCAGUGAUGAAGACGGAUGUCACGCCGCUCCAGAAAGAUCACCUUGUGGUCAUGGCAGUAGAGUUUUCGAUAUCAGUGAAAGUGCACAGGAAUUCGACUGGCCACUUGAUCCGUUUGGAAGGUGUUGCACCUUUAAUGCUCGACUGGCUCUCUGUUCGAUACAACUUUGACUAUUCGGUGUUGGACUCGAAUGCCACUAGCCUGGAAGACUCGGGACCUCAUCUACCUGGGCUCAUUAGUUAUGCGGUGAAAGGUGAAUGUGACGUUAUUAUGGCAGUUAUGGUCCACUCUCAAAACCGUUUGAAGAAAUUAGAAUUAGUGCAUCCGUGGUUUUACGCUGAAAUUGCCAUUUUAUUGCCGGUACCAGAAGUUUUGAACAACGUCAACGCCGUCAUUAAACCAUUUCAGCCUUGGGUGUGGGUGGCAUUAGGUGCUGCGUCGACGGCUUUCAUUGUCACUCUGCUGUGUUUGAAUCGGUACCUCAAAUCGGUGAAACAAUCCAUUCAACCUUCCGAUAUAUUAGCAACUGAAAGUAUUUAUAUGUACGUAGUAGCGACUUUACUUAAUCAAGGAGGGUACAUUUCGUCCAAACUGACGCCGAUUCGGCUAGUUGUUGGAGCUUGGUGUUUACUCACUUUGGUCCUCCUCAAUGUCUACAAUGGCGUCCUCACCUCUUAUUUGAUGGUUACGCCUUACUCACUGCCACUCAUGGACUCUACGGAAGACGCGGCUUAUGAUCCUAAUGUCCGCCCGGUUCUCGUUAAAAACCAAGCAGGAGAUAUUCUUUUUUCGACUGCAGAUAAAGGAUUGUUCAAGGCGUUUGGCGACAAAUUACGGGCCAAUCCCAAGUUGAGAUGCAAUUCCAGUCGUCAAUGCGUGCAGAUGGUGACUUCGCUGCCACAUCAGCACGCUUAUAUCGAGGACUUUUUGGCUUUGAAAGAGAUCAUCAAAGAUGAAUACAACCGGACUGGUCAGUGCAAAACCACUAUCAUGAAGCUGGGAGAAGCAAGCCGGCCUACAGGAUGGGCAUUAAGGAAAAGGAGCACUUACAGCGAGAAAUUCAAUCGAGGGUUGGCUGUCUAAUGCAUUUACUAUUAUCGAUGGCAGCAUGCAUGCCCCUAUCGUAUGCAUAAAAACACGAUUAAUGUUGGUGCUCCGCGAAACUGGACUGAUUUCGCAAUGGGAAAAACAGUUUGAAGCGAACUCUAGGCCUUGCUUCGACGAGGAUCAAAACUACAGAAACGACAAAAACAAGAAAAAACCAUUGGCCCGUUUGUCUCUGGC
RNAcentral lists this unclassified non-coding RNA (1629 nucleotides) under Daphnia magna. RNAcentral describes it as "ionotropic receptor 93a, transcript variant X2". The record is from RNAcentral. Lineage: Eukaryota; Metazoa; Arthropoda; Branchiopoda; Diplostraca; Daphniidae.